RNAcentral lists this ribosomal RNA (387 nucleotides) under uncultured bacterium. Its description in RNAcentral is "bacterial SSU rRNA". It matches the Rfam family "Bacterial small subunit ribosomal RNA", at positions 28 to 416 of the family's 1533-position model. The record is from RNAcentral.
GACGAACGCUGGCGGCGUGCUUAACACAUGCAAGUCGAGCGGUAAGGCCCUUUCGGGGGUACACGAGCGGCGAACGGGUGAGUAACACGUGGGUGACCUGCCCUCAGCUCUGGGAUAAGCCUGGGAAACCGGGUCUAAUACUGGAUAUGACUCCAUGACGCAUGUUGUGGGGUGGAAAGCCUUGUGCGGCUGAGGAUGGGCCCGCGGCCUAUCAGCUUGUUGGUGGGGUGAUGGCCUACCAAGGCGACGACGGGUAGCCGGCCUGAGAGGGCGACCGGCCACACUGGGACUGAGACACGGCCCAGACUCCUACGGGAGGCAGCAGUGGGGAAUCUUGCGCAAUGGGCGAAAGCCUGACGCAGCGACGCCGCGUGAGGAAUGACGGCC